Molecule: ribosomal RNA, 389 nt
Filed under: Syndiniales sp.
Lineage: Eukaryota; Dinophyceae; Syndiniales
Description: partial small subunit ribosomal RNA
Rfam family: Eukaryotic small subunit ribosomal RNA
Source: RNAcentral
AUUCCAGCUCCAAUAGCGUAUGUUAAAGUUGUUGCGGCUAGAAAGCUCGUAGUUGGAUUUCUGUUGAGGACAUCUGGUCCGCUCUACGAGCGUGUAUCUAGUUUGGCCUCGGCAUCCGCUCUGCAUACGUUUCUGCGCUUGAUUGCGUGGAGCGGAGGUAGGGCCUUUUACUUUGAGGAAAUUAGAGUGUUCACGGCAGGCAGUCGCCCUGAAUAUAUUAGCAUGGAAUAAUAACAUAGGAUCUUGGUUCUAUUUUGUUGGUUUCUAGGACUAAGAUAAUGAUUAAUAGGGACAAUUGGGGGCAUUCGUAUUGCGGUGUCAGAGGUGGAAUUCUUAGAUUACUGCACGACGAACUACUGCGAAAGCAUUUGCCAAGGAUGUUUUCAUUG